This 1532-nucleotide long non-coding RNA is filed under the name Equus caballus (horse). RNAcentral's name for it is "lncRNA (ENSECAG00000059927.1)". Lineage: Eukaryota; Metazoa; Chordata; Mammalia; Perissodactyla; Equidae. The record is from RNAcentral.
AGCUUUGAGCACAAUUGAGAACUUAAUGUGUUAAUACUUUCACCAGGGCUUGAUUCCAGCGGAUGAAAACCCCAUAAGAUGACAGUAAACCCAGAAGGAUAGCCCGAACUUCCUGUUCUUUGUUGACAGAAUUUGGGUGUGCAACCUGCAAAGUUUGACAAAUUUUGCAAAGAAACAGAUGUAAAAGGCCAGUUCCGAGAUCCAAAUGGAGGUGCCGCAGCACAGUUGUGUUGGUGGAACUACCACUGGGCCACUGCCAGUUGCAUCUGGGCAGGAAGGAAAUGCAAAUUCAAAGGAAAAAUUAGGCCAUUUUAGAGCAAAGCGAUUUCCAGCAAAGGCGCAGUGCUAACACUCAAGGAUAAAGAAGAUAAGAAAACUGAGGCAGAGAAAUUAAGCAACUGCCUACGGCGUCCCAGCUACUCAGCGGAAUCUCUGAGAUUCAAACCCAGGUGUCUGGCUCCAGAGCUCACACCGUACAACUACUCACACAACCAUGCAGUAUGGAGGUCAAAGGAAAUAAAGAAAGAAGCAAAAAAGAAGACUCUAAACCCACAUUGAGACCCUUUUCAAAACAGUCACAUAGAACCUUAAGAUGCUGCGGUUCAGAGGAGAGGACUCCUCUGUAGCAAAGACUCAGUUAGCACUGGCUGCUGUAAGGUCCAAGAAGACAACUUCUGUGAAAGCACUUGCCGGACUGCAAAGUGCUCUGUAACAUUAGAGGCAAUUGAAACCAGGGUGACUCAAGGGUCCUAAGGAUUUAUGAGCUUGUUUUGCAGAAGAAAAAGAAUGCCUUCAAGGAAGUAAUGAUCACCAGAUAACCAAGUCCCCAGCUGUUGUUGACACAGAAGUCAGAUUGCCCAAGGGCUUAAUCUGGAGUGAAAGAAACACAGAUUAGCCCUUUGUUUCUCUGAAAGUCCUCCUGCCGAGCCCCUUAGCUCUAUAAAACUCCCUGCUUUCUUCUCUUAUUAAGGCUGAUUUGGAAGAACUUAUCCUCCUGCCUUCUCAUUUUGGCCAAUUCAAAUAAAUCUUUCUCCAUCUCCAAGCGCCAAUGUCUCAGUGAUUGGCUUACUGUGCCUUAGGUGCACAAACCUGAGGUUAAGAGGUUCAGUUUCAUAAUGACAAGGUGACUUUAGUGAGUGAUCACUAGCCUUAAAAAGGACUUUAAAAUUUGUAGCUCCAUAUAGGAGACAUGGAUAUAGUAUUUAAUUUUUAAGAUGGGGGGAGGGGGAUUAAAAUCCCAGAAUGUAUUUAUAAUUAUCUAGAAAAAUAAUCAUCAAAAAAAAGGAUAAUUUGGCGCCAGCCUGGUGGCACAGCAGUUAAGUUCGCACGUUCCACUUCAGCAGCCCAGGGUUCACAGGUUCAGAUCCUGGGUGCGGACACGGUACCACUUGGCAAGCCAUGCUAUGGUAGGCAUCCCACAUAUAAAGUGGAGGAAGAUGGGCACAGAUGUCAGCUCAGGGCCAGUCUUCCUCAGCAAAAAGAGGAGGAUUGGCAGCAGAUGUUAGCUCAGGGCUAAUUGUCUUUAAAAAAAA